CACCAUACGGCCAUGCAGAACACACCGUGGGAACCGCUGUAGCCCGCAGUGUGGAUCACCAUGGCGAUGACGGCACAACCCAUCGCCAGCUGGCAAAGGCGGGUAGCGCCGAGAGGUGAGAGGAGCGCCCUCGUGUUCAGGUCUCUGCAGUGUAUGGAUGACAAUGAAAAAAAGAAAGGCCCAAUAUUUCCAAGCCAAAUGUGGAAAAGGAAAUGGUGGGUGUGAAGGAAACAUCUGACUGCACGUCACUUACAGAGGUAGAAACUGAGCAGCGGAUCCUCCAAGUGGCUCCUUACAAAAUCCGUUAAAGCCCCAACUAGAAAAAAAAAAAGAGAGCAUGCUUUUGUUUUGUGUUUAUGUUUUGCAAAGGUGCUGAAUUAUUUGGGAAAUUCAUCAAAGUGUUCCGUGCGCAGAAUGCAGCCUUUGCGAUUUGAAAAUUGCAUUCUACUACAUUUCUAUGUUAGUUUGAUUUUGAUGAAUUGUUCAGCUAUAUAUUAGACUGGAAUUCGUCUCUAAUUUGUUGUUGCUGUUGUGAACAAUUAUUAAGUCACAAGUAGCUUUAAUAUUACCGGCUGACAUGAAAAACUUGGGACACACACAAACCUGUUUCGAGGGGCCUGAAGAAGCCCUGUAAAACAUGUCGAUCUGGAAACUGGAUCCUCAGCACAACCUGGAGAAACAGUACGAGUGGUCAUAUAUGUUGGCAUGUGCCUCACAGCGGGAAUCAGCAUGUAUCAGGUGUACACACUUUGGGGUAUCUGUCCAACUUCUCCUUCAUCUGUGUUUCUCGAAGCGCUUGAGUCAUUAGCGGUGCCUCCUCCAACAAUUUCCUGUAGAGAAAAGGGAUAAAGAACAACGAGUUAUGAUUUGAUGAGUAGAAUAAAUACAAAGGUUGAUUCUAACUUUGCUUAGUGUAUUGUGUCAAAGAGGUACGAGACUAGUUCAAAAGUCAACACUUGCUGUCAGUUCAUCAAUAAUGUACCUUGAGAUAAAAAAGAUAAAAAUAACAUUGUAUGAUUGA
Molecule: long non-coding RNA, 1021 nt
Organism: Syngnathus typhle (broad-nosed pipefish)
Lineage: Eukaryota; Metazoa; Chordata; Actinopteri; Syngnathiformes; Syngnathidae
Exons: 3
Source: RefSeq, a predicted model, not a curated record